Molecule: long non-coding RNA, 2515 nt
Organism: Oncorhynchus tshawytscha (Chinook salmon)
Lineage: Eukaryota; Metazoa; Chordata; Actinopteri; Salmoniformes; Salmonidae
Source: Ensembl
UGAAUGUAAAUUAAGAGAAGUGAAAAUAAGUCGCUGUUAAAGUAACAAGGAAAGUUGAUGAUGAGAGCUGUACUCUACAGUCACCCUGACACCCAGUUGGGAUGGUGGAGACCUAAAGGAUUUCCUGAUGCUUUCCUUGACUUAAAGGGGCACAUACUGAGUAGUACUGUUAUAGCAUCUUUAUUUGUUCCUUUCUCCAUUUGUGUUCCUUUCUAGACCAUGGGAAUCUAUGACUCGGGGAUAACUCUGAGACACUUGGACGUAUCACUCAGGGAUAACUGAGGCUACCUCACCUGUUGGGCAUUGAGGAAGAAGACCUCAUCCUUGUCUGAUUGGAGAGAACAUGGGCCAACUGGUCCAUUUUAUAUCUUCAGAGCACACUCAGAAAGAGAGAGGGAGUCACAUGACUCACAAAAACACUUCUAGCUUUUUGAGGACUUGGAGACAGAUUGAAAUUUACUGGUGGGUUCAUUAAAAGAAAUGCACUCCCAACUUUUUAUUUUUUUAUUUUUUUACAUGACCCUCCCCUUGUACUGUAAAAUAAAUGCAACACCCUCCCCCCUCAGAGUUAACUAAAAAUGUUUAUGACCACAAAUAACUGUAGCGACCCUGUGUUUAUAAACAGGGAUAUCUAAUUCGCUACAGUAGCACAUUCGAUGCCAUGCAGGGCUACGGGCCUGAAGGUUGAGGGUUCGCCGACCACCACAGGGGAGCUCACUGUCGUCCACCAAACCUGCAUGUUUCAUUACUUCACUAUCAGUGCUGGUUGCCGACACUGAUCAGCAAGGGGGAAAUCAGAUUUUCAACAUUUUGAUGCCAUAUUUAUAAUUCUAUAAGCCUCUGGGACCAAUUCGUAAGCCCGAAGGAUAGCAGCUUUGUGUCCUAAUUUGAACUCUGGUCGAGAGAGAAAGCGGCGUACACUUUGAGCUUUUCCCACAAAAACACUUUGGAGGAGCAGUGACCAAAUAUACUACAUGGCCUUAAGUUUAAGCCUGGCUCGCUGUCGGCGUUCCAAUUCAUCCCAAAGGUGUUCGAUGGGGUUGAGCUCAGGGCUCUGUGCAGGCCAAGUUGUUCCACACUGAUCUCGACAAACCAUUUCUGUAUGGACCUCACUUUGUGCACGGGGGCAUUGUCAUGCUGAAACAGGAAAGGGCCUUCCCAAAACUGUUGCUACAAAAGUUGGAAGCACAGAAUUUUUUAGAAUGUAAUUGUAUGCUGUAGCGUUAAGAUUUCACUUCACCGGAACUAAGGGACCUAGCCUGAACCAUGAAAACCAGCCCCAGACCAUUAUUCCUCCUCCACCAAACUACCGCUGGCGCUAUGCAUUCGGGCAGGUAGUGUUCUCCUGGCAUCCGCCAAACCCAGAUUCGUCUGUCGAAUUACUAGAUGGUGAAGCGUAAUUCAUCACUCCAGAGAUCACAUUUUCACUGCUCCAGAGUCCAAUGGCGGUGAGCUUUACGCCAGCCGACGCUUGGCAUUGCGUUUGAUGCUCUUAGGCUUGUGUACAGCUGCUCGGCCAUGGAAACCCAUUUCAUGAAGCUCCCGACAAACAACCGAGGACAGAUGGUUUUUACUCGCUACUCGCUUCAGCACUCGGAGGUCCCAUUCUGUGAGCUUGUGUAGCUUACUACUUCACGGCUGAGUCGUUGUUGCUCCAAGACGUUUCCACUUCACAAGAACAGCACUUACAGUUGACUAGGUUAGAAAUUUGACAAACUGACUUGUUGGAAAGGUGUUAUUGCAUGUCGGUGUGCUCAAUUUUUAUACACCUGUCAGCAACGGGUGUGGCUGAAAUAGCCAAAUCCAUUAAUUUGAAGGGUUGUCCACAUACUUUUGACCAUGUGUCUCGCAGCCAUUUUUAGGGUUUUAGCAAGUCACUCAGAGUAAAAUAUAUAUAUCCACCUCCUUUUUGUUGAAAGGCAGUACAAGCAGGCUGUUCUUACCAUGAUCAAUCUCUGAGGGUGCAGGGUGGCCUGACUUUAUUCGGAGUACUUCCAGAUCUAUCUCCCUUUGUCGCGCUUCCAGCUCCAUCUCUCUCUUUCAAUGGAAUGGCAUGCGCACAUUCUUCUUGUUCUAGUCUGGCUGCAUGUUCUCAUUCCCUUUCCUUGUGCUCAAGCUCUAAUUUCUGUUCCCAUUUUGCCUUUAGUACUACCUCUCCCAGUUGCAUGUCUAUGGGAUGCACUCUACCACCCGUAGAACCCUUAUCAUCCUCCCUCUCCUGAAGGAUUUCCCCCUCCACCAAAGCAGUAUAGACUAACUCUUUUGACUACUGCUUUCGAAUCAGCAUGUGCAACUUUGAUAUCAUAAUGCUUUGCGAUGAAGAGCAGAAACUUUUUUACAUUUAUCUAGCAUCUCCCAAGUAAGGUUUUCCACAAAUGCUUCCAAAGUAAGUAAAUGUUUUUAAUUUUAUAAGCUUAUGUGUUUAUACAACUUUCAAAAUGUGGAAUGGUGCUGCUUGAUCUUCAGAAGGCUUUUGAUACAGUUAAUCAUAGCAUCCUACUUGCCAAGCUAGAGG